CCCUAGUAACUGCGAGUGAAGCGGGAAAAGCUCAAAUUUAAAAUCUGGUGGUCUUUGGCCAUCCGAGUUGUAAUCUAGAGAAGUGUUAUCCGCGCUGGACCGUGUACAAGUCUCCUGGAAUGGAGCGUCAUAGAGGGUGAGAAUCCCGUCUUUGACACGGACUACCAGGGCUUUGUGAUGCGCUCUCAAAGAGUCGAGUUGUUUGGGAAUGCAGCUCAAAAUGGGUGGUAAAUUCCAUCUAAAGCUAAAUAUUGGCGAGAGACCGAUAGCGAACAAGUACCGUGAGGGAAAGAUGAAAAGAACUUUGGAAAGAGAGUUAAACAGUACGUGAAAUUGCUGAAAGGGAAACGCUUGAAGUCAGUCGCGUUGUCUGGAAAUCAACCUUGCUUUUGCUGGGCGUACUUUCCAGUUAACGGGUCAGCAUCAAUUUUGACCGUUGGAUAAAGUUCAAGGGAAUGUGGCAUCUUCGGAUGUGUUAUAGCCUUUGUUCGCAUACAACGGUUGGGAUUGAGGAACUCAGCACGCCGCAAGGCCGGGUAUUUAUACCACGUUCGUGCUUAGGAUGCUGGCAUAAUGGCUUUAAUCGACCCGUCUUGAAACACGGACCAAGGAGUCUAACAUGCCUGCGAGUGUUUGGGUGGAAAACCCGAGCGCGUAAUGAAAGUGAAAGUUGAGAUCCCUGUCGUGGGGAGCAUCGACGCCCGGACCAGACCUUUUGUGACGGAUCCGCGGUAGAGCAUGUAUGUUGGGACCCGAAAGAUGGUGAACUAUGCCUGAAUAGGGUGAAGCCAGAGGAAACUCUGGUGGAGGCUCGUAGCGAUUCUGACGUGCAAAUCGAUCGUCAAAUUUGGGUAUAGGGGCGAAAGACUAAUCGAACCAUCUAGUAGCUGG
RNAcentral lists this ribosomal RNA (891 nucleotides) under Galerina sulciceps. RNAcentral's name for it is "partial large subunit ribosomal RNA". It matches the Rfam family "Eukaryotic large subunit ribosomal RNA", at positions 78 to 954 of the family's 3401-position model. Lineage: Eukaryota; Fungi; Basidiomycota; Agaricomycetes; Agaricales; Galerinaceae. The record is from RNAcentral.